AGUGAACGCUGGCGGUAGGCCUAACACAUGCAAGUCGAACGGCAGCACAGUAAGAGCUUGCUCUUACGGGUGGCGAGUGGCGGACGGGUGAGGAAUACAUCGGAAUCUACUUUUUCGUGGGGGAUAACGUAGGGAAACUUACGCUAAUACCGCAUACGACCUACGGGUGAAAUCAGGGGAUCUUCGCACCUUGCGCGAUUGAAUGAGCCGAUGUCGGAUUAGCUAGUUGGCGGGGUAAAGGCCCACCAAGGCGACGAUCCGUAGCUGGUCUGAGAGGAUGAUCAGCCACACUGGAACUGAGACACGGUCCAGACUCCUACGGGAGGCAGCAGUGGGGAAUAUUGGACAAUGGGCGCAAGCCUGAUCCAGCCAUACCGCGUGGGUGAAGAAGGCCUUCGGGUUGUAAAGCCCUUUUGUUGGGAAAGAAAAGCAGCAGAUUAAUACCCCGCUGUUCUGACGGUACCCAAAGAAUAAGCACCGGCUAACUUCGUG
RNAcentral lists this ribosomal RNA (492 nucleotides) under uncultured bacterium. RNAcentral describes it as "partial 16S ribosomal RNA". It matches the Rfam family "Bacterial small subunit ribosomal RNA", at positions 29 to 507 of the family's 1533-position model. The record is from RNAcentral.